RNAcentral lists this ribosomal RNA (442 nucleotides) under uncultured bacterium. RNAcentral's name for it is "partial 16S ribosomal RNA". It matches the Rfam family "Bacterial small subunit ribosomal RNA", at positions 339 to 795 of the family's 1533-position model. The record is from RNAcentral.
CUACGGGAUGCAGCAGUAGGGAAUAUUGGGCAAUGGGCGCAAGCCUGACCCAGCAACGCCGCGUGAAGGAAGAAGGCUUUCGGGUUGUAAACUUCUUUUGGCAGGGACGAAACAAAUGACGGUACCUGCAGAAUAAGCUCCGGCUAAAUACGUGCCAGCAGCCGCGGUAAUACGUAUGGAGCAAGCGUUAUCCGGAUUUACUGGGUGUAAAGGGCGCGUAGGCGGGACUGCAAGUCAGGUGUGAAAUCUAGUGGCUCAACCACUAAACUGCAUUUGAAACUGUAGUUCUUGAGUGAUGGAGAGGCAAGUGGAAUUCCUAGUGUAGCGGUGAAAUGCGUAGAUAUUAGGAGGAACACCAGUGGCGAAGGCGACUUGCUGGACAUUAACUGACGCUGAGGCGCGAAAGCGUGGGGAGCAAACAGGAUUAGAUACCCCGGUAGUC